AGCGAACGCUGGCGGUAGGCCUAACACAUGCAAGUCGAACGGCAGCACAGUAAGAGCUUGCUCUUACGGGUGGCGAGUGGCGGACGGGUGAGGAAUACAUCGGAAUCUACUUUUUCGUGGGGGAUAACGUAGGGAAACUUACGCUAAUACCGCAUACGACCUACGGGUGAAAGCAGGGGAUCUUCGGACCUUGCGCGAUUGAAUGAGCCGAUGUCGGAUUAGCUAGUUGGCGGGGUAAAGGCCCACCAAGGCGACGAUCCGUAGCUGGUCUGAGAGGAUGAUCAGCCACACUGGAACUGAGACACGGUCCAGACUCCUACGGGAGGCAGCAGUGGGGAAUAUUGGACAAUGGGCGCAAGCCUGAUCCAGCCAUACCGCGUGGGUGAAGAAGGCCUUCGGGUUGUAAAGCCCUUUUGUUGGGAAAGAAAAGCGGCAGGUUAAUACCCCGCUGUUCUGACGGUACCCAAAGAAUAAGCACCGGCUAACUUCGUG
RNAcentral lists this ribosomal RNA (492 nucleotides) under uncultured bacterium. Its description in RNAcentral is "partial 16S ribosomal RNA". It matches the Rfam family "Bacterial small subunit ribosomal RNA", at positions 29 to 507 of the family's 1533-position model. The record is from RNAcentral.